GACGAACGCUGGCGGCGUGCUUAACACAUGCAAGUCGAACGGAAAGGCCCUGCUUUUGUGGGGUGCUCGAUUGGCGAACGGGUGAGUAACACGUGAGUAACCUGCCCUUGACUUUGGGAUAACUUCACGAAACUGGGGCUAAUACCGGAUAGGAGCUCCUGCUGCAUGGUGGUGGUUGGAAAGUUUCGGCGGUUGGGGAUGGACUCGCGGCUUAUCAGCUUGUUGGUGUGGUAGUGGCUUACCAAGGCUUUGACGGGUAGCCGGCCUGAGAGGGUGACCGGCCACAUUGGGACUGAGAUACGGCCCAGACUCCUACGGGAGGCAGCAGUGGGGAAUAUUGCACAAUGGGCGGAAGCGUGAUGCAGCAACGCCGCGUGCGGGAUGACGGCCUUCGGGUUGUAAACCGCUUUCGCCUGUGACGAAGCGUGAGUGACGGUAAUGGGUAAAGAAGCACCGGCUAACUACGUG
RNAcentral lists this ribosomal RNA (468 nucleotides) under uncultured bacterium. RNAcentral describes it as "partial 16S ribosomal RNA". It matches the Rfam family "Bacterial small subunit ribosomal RNA", at positions 28 to 507 of the family's 1533-position model. The record is from RNAcentral.